Molecule: non-coding RNA, 119 nt
Organism: Raphidiopsis brookii D9
Lineage: Bacteria; Bacillati; Cyanobacteriota; Cyanophyceae; Nostocales; Aphanizomenonaceae
Source: Rfam
AGGAGCCGUGUGAUGCGAAAGUAUCACGCACGGUUCUGAAGCCGAGUCAUAUUGGAGACAAUGUGGCUUAGGGUCAUACGGAAUGGUUAAAAAAGUCGAAAAAUUUCUCUGGAGCUUAU